AUUGAACGCUGGCGGCAUGCUUUACACAUGCAAGUCGAACGGUAACAGGCCGCAAGGUGCUGACGAGUGGCGAACGGGUGAGUAAUGCAUCGGAACGUGCCCAGUCGUGGGGGAUAACGCAGCGAAAGCUGCGCUAAUACCGCAUACGAUCUCUGGAUGAAAGCGGGGGACCGAAAGGCCUCGCGCGAUUGGAGCGGCCGAUGUCAGAUUAGGUAGUUGGUGAGGUAAAGGCCCACCAAGCCAACGAUCUGUAGCUGGUCUGAGAGGACGACCAGCCACACUGGGACUGAGACACGGCCCAGACUCCUACGGGAGGCAGCAGUGGGGAAUUUUGGACAAUGGGCGCAAGCCUGAUCCAGCAAUGCCGCGUGCAGGAAGAAGGCCUUCGGGUUGUAAACUGCUUUUGUACGGAACGAAACGGUCUGGGUUAAUACCCUGGGCUAAUGACGGUACCGUAAGAAUAAGCACCGGCUAACUACGUGCCAGCAGCCGCCGCAG
This 498-nucleotide ribosomal RNA is filed under the name uncultured bacterium. RNAcentral describes it as "partial 16S ribosomal RNA". It matches the Rfam family "Bacterial small subunit ribosomal RNA", at positions 29 to 523 of the family's 1533-position model. The record is from RNAcentral.